GGGAACUACGGGCAAAAGCCUAAAACCCAAAGGACUUGGCGGUGCUUUAGACCCACCUAGAGGAGCCUGUUCUAUAACCGAUAACCCCCGUUAAACCUUACCUUCUCUUGUUAUAAUCCGCCUAUAUACCGCCGUCGUCAGCUUACCCUGCAAAGAUAUUUAGUAAGCAAAAUUGAUACUAUCCAAAACGUCAGGUCGAGGUGUAGCAAAUGGGAAGGAAAGAAAUGGGCUACAUUUUUUAAUUUAAAAAAUACGGAAAUUGCCAUGAAACAGCACAUUCAAGGAGGAUUUAGCAGUAAGCAUGAGAAUAGAGAGCUCCGCUGAAACUGGCCCUGAAGCGCGCACACACCGCCCGUCACUCUCCCUGAACAAUUUUUACUUAUUCAUAAUACUAGACUUCAACAUAAAGGGAGGCAAGUCGUAACAUGGUAAGUGUACCGGAAGGUGCACUUGGUUAAAU
This 460-nucleotide ribosomal RNA is filed under the name Aphyosemion elberti (red barred killifish). RNAcentral describes it as "partial 12S ribosomal RNA". It matches the Rfam family "Bacterial small subunit ribosomal RNA", at positions 875 to 1533 of the family's 1533-position model. The record is from RNAcentral. Lineage: Eukaryota; Metazoa; Chordata; Actinopteri; Cyprinodontiformes; Nothobranchiidae.